GUGGCUACGUGUUACGGUUCUAGCGAGCCCAACCUCCCACCCGUGUUUACUGUACCUUAGUUGCUUCGGCGGGCCCGCCAUUCAUGGCCGCCGGGGGCUCUCAGCCCCGGGCCCGCGCCCGCCGGAGACACCACGAACUCUGUCUGAUCUAGUGAAGUCUGAGUUGAUUGUAUCGCAAUCAGUUAAAACUUUCAACAAUGGAUCUCUUGGUUCCGGCAUCGAUGAAGAACGCAGCGAAAUGCGAUAACUAGUGUGAAUUGCAGAAUUCCGUGAAUCAUCGAGUCUUUGAACGCACAUUGCGCCCCCUGGUAUUCCGGGGGGCAUGCCUGUCCGAGCGUCAUUGCUGCCCAUCAAGCACGGCUUGUGUGUUGGGUCGUCGUCCCCUCUCCGGGGGGGACGGGCCCCAAAGGCAGCGGCGGCACCGCGUCCGAUCCUCGAGCGUAUGGGGCUUUGUCACCCGCUCUGUAGGCCCGGCCGGCGCUUGCCGAACGCAAAUCAAUCUUUUUCCAGGUUGACCUCGGAUCAGGUAGGGAUACCCGCUGAACUUAAGCAUAUCAAAAG
This 561-nucleotide ribosomal RNA is filed under the name Aspergillus oryzae. RNAcentral describes it as "eukaryotic LSU rRNA". The stretch from base 187 to 340 matches the Rfam family "5.8S ribosomal RNA". The record is from RNAcentral. Lineage: Eukaryota; Fungi; Ascomycota; Eurotiomycetes; Eurotiales; Aspergillaceae.